AGCGAACGCUGGCGGCAGGCCUAACACAUGCAAGUCGAACGAACCUUUCGGGGUUAGUGGCGGACGGGUGAGUAACACGUGGGAACGUGCCUUUAGGUUCGGAAUAACUCAGGGAAACUUGUGCUAAUACCGAAUGUGCCCUUCGGGGGAAAGAUUUAUCGCCUUUAGAGCGGCCCGCGUCUGAUUAGCUAGUUGGUUGAGGUAAUGGCUCACCAAGGCGACGAUCAGUAGCUGGUCUGAGAGGAUGAUCAGCCACAUUGGGACUGAGACACGGCCCAAACGAGCGCGAGAGGCAGGGGUGGGGGAGCGCGCGUAAGGCGAGAGAGGGGGAGGGAGGCGGGGGGUGUGAAUGAAGAGGGGCGGAGGUGAGAAAAUUUCUGUCGGUGGGAACGUUAUUGACGGUAAGCGAAGAAGAACCCCCGGAGAACGCCGUGACAGCCGCCGCCGAAAUGAACGCGCACCACCCGCCCGCAC
Molecule: ribosomal RNA, 474 nt
Filed under: uncultured bacterium
Lineage: Bacteria
Description: partial 16S ribosomal RNA
Rfam family: Bacterial small subunit ribosomal RNA (bases 20-303)
Source: RNAcentral